GCGGCAGGCCUAACACAUGCAAGUCGAGCGGCAGCACGGGAAGCUUGCUUCCUGGUGGCGAGCGGCGGACGGGUGAGUAAUGCAUAGGAAUCUGCCCGGUAGUGGGGGAUAACCUGGGGAAACCCAGGCUAAUACCGCAUACGUCCUACGGGAGAAAGCAGGGGCUCUUCGGACCUUGCGCUAUCGGAUGAGCCUAUGUCGGAUUAGCUGGUUGGUGAGGUAAUGGCUCACCAAGGCGACGAUCCGUAGCUGGUCUGAGAGGAUGAUCAGCCACAUCGGGACUGAGACACGGCCCGAACUCCUACGGGAGGCAGCAGUGGGGAAUAUUGGACAAUGGGCGCAAGCCUGAUCCAGCCAUGCCGCGUGUGUGAAGAAGGCCCUCGGGUUGUAAAGCACUUUCAGUGGGGAAGAAAGCCUUCCGGUUAAUACCCGGGAGGAAGGACAUCACCCACAGAAGAAGCACCGGCUAACUCCGUGCCAGCAGCCGCGGUAAUACGGAGGGUGCGAGCGUUAAUCGGAAUUACUGGGCGUAAAGCGCGCGUAGGUGGCUUGAUAAGCCGGUUGUGAAAGGCCUGGGCUCAACCUGGGAACGGCAUCCGGAACUGUCAGGCUAAAAUGCAGGAAA
RNAcentral lists this ribosomal RNA (625 nucleotides) under uncultured bacterium. Its description in RNAcentral is "bacterial SSU rRNA". It matches the Rfam family "Bacterial small subunit ribosomal RNA", at positions 39 to 655 of the family's 1533-position model. The record is from RNAcentral.